UACGGAGGGUGCAAACGUUGCUCGGAAUCAUUGGGCGUAAAGCGCACGUAGGCGGCUCGUUAAGUCGGUUGUGAAAGCCCUCGGCUCAACCGAGGAAGUGCAAUCGAAACUGGCGAGCUUGAAUAUGGAAGAGGGUCGCGGAAUUCCUGGUGUAGCGGUGAAAUGCGCAGAUAUCAGGAGGAACACCGAUGGCGAAGGCAGGUCUCUGGGCCACUACUGACGCUGAGAAGCGAAAGCGUGGGGAGCGAACAGG
Molecule: ribosomal RNA, 253 nt
Filed under: uncultured bacterium
Lineage: Bacteria
Description: partial 16S ribosomal RNA
Rfam family: Bacterial small subunit ribosomal RNA
Source: RNAcentral